Molecule: ribosomal RNA, 130 nt
Filed under: Pleosporales sp.
Lineage: Eukaryota; Fungi; Ascomycota; Dothideomycetes; Pleosporales
Description: 5.8S ribosomal RNA
Rfam family: 5.8S ribosomal RNA
About the family: 5.8S ribosomal RNA (5.8S rRNA) is a component of the large subunit of the eukaryotic ribosome.
Source: RNAcentral
AAACUUUCAACAAUGGAUCUCUUGGCUCUGGCAUCGAUGAAGAACGCAGCGAAAUGCGAUAAGUAGUGUGAAUUGCAGAAUUCAGUGAAUCAUCGAAUCUUUGAACGCACAUUGCGCCCUUUGGUAUUCC